GAUGAACGCUCGCGGCGUGCCUAAUACAUGCCAGUCGAGCGAACAGACGAGGAGCUUGCUCCUCUGACGUUAGCGGCGGACGGGUGAGUAACACGUGGAUAACCUACCUAUAAGACUGGGAUAACUUCGGGAAACCGGAGCUAAUACCGGAUAAUAUAUUGAACCGCAUGGUUCAAUAGUGAAAGACGGUUUUGCUGUCACUUAUAGAUGGAUCCGCGCCGCAUUAGCUAGUUGGUAAGGUAACGGCUUACCAAGGCAACGAUGCGUAGCCGACCUGAGAGGGUGAUCGGCCACACUGGAACUGAGACACGGUCCAGACUCCUACGGGAGGCAGCAGUAGGGAAUCUUCCGCAAUGGGCGAAAGCCUGACGGAGCAACGCCGCGUGAGUGAUGAAGGGCUUCGGAUCGUAAAACUCUGUUAUUAGGGAAGAACAAAUGUGUAAGUAACUAUGCACGUCUUGACGGUACCUAAUCAGAAAGCCACGGCUAACUACGUG
RNAcentral lists this ribosomal RNA (497 nucleotides) under uncultured bacterium. Its description in RNAcentral is "partial 16S ribosomal RNA". It matches the Rfam family "Bacterial small subunit ribosomal RNA", at positions 28 to 507 of the family's 1533-position model. The record is from RNAcentral.